Vespula pensylvanica (western yellowjacket) is the source of this 1065-nucleotide long non-coding RNA. RefSeq lists it as uncharacterized. NCBI's taxonomy places the organism in Eukaryota, Metazoa, Arthropoda, Insecta, Hymenoptera, Vespidae. The transcript has 2 exons. The record is from RefSeq and is a predicted model, not a curated record.
AAUAGAAAAAUGAUAUUAAAUUUUCAUAACAAACAAAAUCCCCUAUCAAACAGACAUUAAUAUUAUUUGAUCAUGAUGUUUUUAGUCCUUUUUCGAUCCAAAUGGUAAUAUGUAGUCCAUUCAAUGAGACGAGUAAGGAGUUCUAGGAAUCAUAUCGAAUGAAAAAAUCUAAAGAUAGUAGUUUAUCUAUAAGGGAAAAUAGUGUAGCAGUUAAGAGAAGGCUAGGUUAGAGAUGCAACGACAUAUCAUAGGACAUAACUCACAUCACGUGAUCCAAGUAAUGUAAUGGGGAUAACAUGACGUCAGGUAUAAUCUCUCCAGGCAACGAAGUAACUCCUUAAUUUGUUGAUAUUGAAGCUCAAGGAAAAAAGGCUCAAGGAGGUUUAAGGAAAAAUAUUUAUUAAGGAUGAAGUGUUCAGUUAAAUCACCACACUUAGAUAAUAAUAACUAUAUAGAUAUAAUUAAUAAGUAACUAUCAUUCUUUCUACAUUCUUCUUUUAACAGAAUUCAGAUACAAAGACUGAAAUAAAAAUUUUAACAGAAUUCAGAUACAGAGACUGGGAUCUUACUGCAUGUGAGUUAAUUAACAGAUUAACAAAAGAACAAACCGCUGACUGACACCCUAACUUUCUUAUAUAUUUUAUGCAGAUGCUGACUAUACAUCGGAGUUGGUCGUUCUCCAUGCGUGAUAUUACAUACGCUGUUUUGCACGUGCGUUCACUGGCCCUGAACACAGAUAGUUUUAUACUGUAUUAUCAUUUUGUACGUGCGUCAGUCAAUUUUGGAUGCAGUAUAGUCUGAUGCUCUAUGUGUCAUUUUAUAUGCGUGCUGAUGACUUUAGUUGCAGUAUAGAUUGACGCUAAUCAUCAGUCAUCCUGCACACGCGUCUACUGACUUUGGGCGCAGCUCUUAGUUUGACGCUUUAGAUGUCAUUCUGCUAACCUUAGUACAAUAGUUAAUUCGCUAAGUUCAAUAAUAAUUCACUAUAUGAUUAUAAUAAAUUUGUUAAAAGUCUAUAAUUUAUGAGGUAUUACUAAAUAAAAUACAAUUCAAUAUAUAUAAUUA